GUGGGGAAUAUUGCGCAAUGGGGGAAACCCUGACGCAGCAACGCCGCGUGAUUGAAGAAGGCCUUCGGGUUGUAAAGAUCUUUAAUUCGGGACGAAAAAAAUGACGGUACCGAAAGAAUAAGCUCCGGCUAACUACGUGCCAGCAGCCGCGGUAAUACGUAGGGAGCAAGCGUUAUCCGGAUUUACUGGGUGUAAAGGGCGCGCAGGCGGGCUUGCAAGUUGGGAGUGAAAUCCCGGGGCUCAACCCCGGAACUGCUUUCAAAACUGUGAGUCUUGAGUGAUGGAGAGGCAGGCGGAAUUCCCAGUGUAGCGGUGAAAUGCGUAGAUAUCCGGAGGAACACCGGUGGCGAAGGCGGCCACCUGGACAGGUACUGACGCUGAGGCGCGAAAGCGUGGGGAGCAAACAGGAUUAGAUACCCGAGUAGUCC
RNAcentral lists this ribosomal RNA (428 nucleotides) under uncultured bacterium. RNAcentral describes it as "partial 16S ribosomal RNA". It matches the Rfam family "Bacterial small subunit ribosomal RNA", at positions 354 to 796 of the family's 1533-position model. The record is from RNAcentral.